UUAGCUCAUAUUUGUAUGGAAUGGGAUCGUUUGCCUACGUUUGCCGCUAGGGGCGCUGUUCCAACUGCAUACAAAAUUGGCUUA
This 84-nucleotide microRNA precursor is filed under the name Bombyx mori (domestic silkworm). Its description in RNAcentral is "mir-2807 microRNA precursor family". It matches the Rfam family "mir-2807 microRNA precursor family". The record is from Rfam by way of RNAcentral. Lineage: Eukaryota; Metazoa; Arthropoda; Insecta; Lepidoptera; Bombycidae.